UCCUCGGCUCUCGUGCGCAACAGACGUCGCUUUCUGCAGGCGCAUGUAAACAGAUAGUUAAUAACAUUUCAAAUAGCAAUAAUAAUAGCAAUACCAAUAGCAAUAGCAACAGCAACAACAAGCACAACAACCAAUAACCAAAAGUGUCGGCUAGAAAGUUAGCCAAACGAAGCGAAAGCUAAGAAUCUACUCAGUCGCAUUUGCCGCGUGUGAGUGCCGAAAGCAAGUGAAAGUGAAUUUAAGCGAGUGCCGUUGCAUUUUUGCAGUGUUGUGUAAUCGUCAUUUUGGCUAGUGCUACAGUAUGUGAAAUCGAUUAAUUAGCAAUCGACAUCGCCAGCGACAGCCGUUGGUAUUUUGAUCGUGACCCGUUACUUUAAUGGCAUAGCAUUAGUCAGCCUGUGUGUGCCAGUGUGCGUUGGUGUGUGCUUGCGUGUUCAUGUGUGUUUGUGUGUGUGUGUGUGUUCAGUGUGACACACUUUGCUGUUGUUGUUAUUGUGCUUUGCUUGUCUUGGCCAUUGUUGUUGCUCUUUGUGUGCGCUGCGCCUUAUUAAAUGUCCUUGAUGUCGUCGCUAUGUCUGACUGCCACGCCCCCGCGACUCUUAACAAAAAAAACUUUAUUAAAUCAAACCGUUUGUGGCUAUUCCAGUGACUACACAGUCGCACGAAAUUAUCGCAGACCAAAUGAAAUAAACGAAAUAUGGAAAAUUCCUGCAAGUACAACUGUGGAACUAUGGAAAAAUAAGCAAGCAUACAUUUUGGGUGUUUACGUCAUGUUUGUCUACGCUUAAAGGCGUUUGUAUGCCAACAGCCCUAUUCAUAUACAUAUAUAAAUUCGUAUAUAUGCAUAUAUGUUAUAUGUAGAAGUCUGUUCCGUAUGUGCGCCUGUGUUUGUUGUGCCUGUCUUUGUGUUAGCCUUUGUAUUGGUACUCGAUUAGGCCUCGGUAUAUCACGUCACAUGCCACUAGCCUGACAGUGAAUCCAAAAUUCUGAAGGCAGCCGCCUCAUAAAUGCAUGCCAAGUACUAUUUAAUAUUUAUAUAGAUACCAGCAUAUUAUCCCCAACUGUAUAAACUGUACAAACUGUCCAAACUGUGUGUAAACUGUUUGCCUAAUGCAAAUUCAACAAGCUGCACCUACCAUUUCCUCUAAUAAGCCAACUCGCUGAGCUGUUUGUACAAAUUUACAGCUUCAAGCUAAACCAAAAAAAAAUUUGUAUAACGUAGAGAGAAAUCAUCAGAAAUCAAAAACCAAAUAACCAUAAGAAAUAACCAUAACAAAAACUGUAUUGAAAAAAAAGCAAACAAACAAACCAAACAUAACUGUAAAUUGGUAUAUACAAACGAGCCUGUUGCAGCAAACAGUAAACAAACAAACAAACAAACAACAGCAAUAACAAACGCCGCUAGUAGUUUCCUUUUGUGGCACAAGCGAAAAUUACAUUUUGCAUAGUAGACUUUUAGGCGUCGCACUCAAUUUAGUUGAAAAGCAACAACA
Drosophila mojavensis is the source of this 1493-nucleotide long non-coding RNA. RefSeq lists it as uncharacterized. NCBI's taxonomy places the organism in Eukaryota, Metazoa, Arthropoda, Insecta, Diptera, Drosophilidae. The transcript has 2 exons. The record is from RefSeq and is a predicted model, not a curated record.